RNAcentral lists this ribosomal RNA (478 nucleotides) under uncultured bacterium. RNAcentral's name for it is "partial 16S ribosomal RNA". It matches the Rfam family "Bacterial small subunit ribosomal RNA", at positions 28 to 507 of the family's 1533-position model. The record is from RNAcentral.
GAUGAACGCUGGCGGCGUGCUUAACACAUGCAAGUCGAACGGGAAAUAUUUCAUUGAGACUUCGGUGGAUUUGAUUUAUUUCUAGUGGCGGACGGGUGAGUAACGCGUGGGUAACCUGCCUUAUACAGGGGGAUAACAGUCAGAAAUGGCUGCUAAUACCGCAUAAGCGCACAGAGCUGCAUGGCUCAGUGUGAAAAACUCCGGUGGUAUAAGAUGGACCCGCGUUGGAUUAGCUAGUUGGGGGGGUAACGGCCCACCAAGGCGACGAUCCAUAGCCGGCCUGAGAGGGUGAACGGCCACAUUGGGACUGAGACACGGCCCAGACUCCUACGGGAGGGAGCAGUGGGGAAUAUUGCACAAUGGGGGAAACCCUGAUGCAGCGACGCCGCGUGAAGGAAGAAGUAUCUCGGUAUGUAAUCUUCUAUCAGCAGGGAAGAUAGUGACGGUACCUGACUAAGAAGCCCCGGCUAACUACGUG